Molecule: long non-coding RNA, 1330 nt
Filed under: Olea europaea subsp. europaea
Lineage: Eukaryota; Viridiplantae; Streptophyta; Magnoliopsida; Lamiales; Oleaceae
Source: RNAcentral
CAAAAUUGUCUUUCAUACUUUCAAUGUCGGAAGUUGUACCAAGCAUUUUGCUUAAAUGUCUUUUAUGUCUAUCAUAUUGGUUUUUUCGAAACUACACCAACUGGGGAUGCAGUGGUGCUAUGCAUAAUGUUCGAGCAGGUUAAGAAUCACAUGUUUAUGGUAUGAUUAAGCUUUUCUCAAUGCUAUUGUUGGCUUACAAAUAUAUGUGUUAUCAUUGCCUUGAAUAUAAAAUGUGAUGUGUACCAUGUCACAGUUAAAAUUUUUGCCUUCCACUUCGCACAGAAACCAAUUCUACUAACGUUCACUAACUUGUAGCUAAAAGAAUUCCCAAUAUUGUUGAGAUCAUUUGAAAUGUGUAGGUGAUGUCAAGUUUGCUAUGUUUCUAUUGUGUUUGUGGGCUGCUAAAGGAACAUUUUAUUUCUCGAUAGAACAUGCAAGGUUAUUUGGUAUUUGUUUUCAGUCUGCAGCUUCCCACUUAUCCAUCAUCUAUCAGUCUUUCUGGUUGACGAUAGUUAACAUAUUUUUAAAUUUUCUUCCAACUGUACCACGAAGUUCAUGGCACAUUCUAGAUCUCUCUUGGACCAAUGAAGUAAAAGUGUGUUAAUGUCAAUGAGGGAAAAAAUAAUCUAGAAUUUCAAUGAUGGGUCCUAAGGACACUUAAUAAUUCCACGCUCUCGUGGAAGUUUCUUACUUUUCACACCCCUAAUUAAAUGAUAACAAUUAUAGGAUUAACAAAAACCAAUUCAUCUAAAAAUCCAUUUCUGUACUGCUACGAAUAUGCAAGUAAAGGGUUUAUACUACAUUGAAUGAACAGUAGCUAAUGAUAAAGACAGAAAUAGGGUAUUUCCAGCUUGUUCAGUGCCUAGAAUAUAUUGUCACAAUUGCAAAAUUUAAACAUGCAUAUGUUCACUGGUGCAUUGAAUACAGUAGUGCUUGGACCAUCCCCAUCGCAGGUGAGCUUGCUUAAAUAUUCAUGGCUUGUUUGUUAUUGUUCAGUGCCAUAUAAAUACUUGAUGCACAUUUAUAUUUGAUUUUCCCCAGGACAUGACAUCCACACUUACAAGUUCUACAGUUGUUGCAAAUGUGCUACUUAAUGUCUACCAUGUCGUUGGAGGAAUAAUGACCAUGUCGUUGGAGGAAUAAUGCUUGUCAAGGUAACCCAUUUCGUACAUUACAGAGUACAUAGCUGGUUGGCUAUGUAAUGACCGCUAGGUGGUCCAGGUGGUUUAGUUUUUUGUCCAAUUACACCUUUCACAUUUACCCAUUAAUUCAAAAGAAAUGUGCCAUAGCCAUUAUGUAUGGCACAUUAUUGCAAUCAAACUUUCGUGCA